AGGAAUUUAGGUUAAAUAGACCAAGAGCCUUCAAAGUACAAUAUACUUAACUCCUG
This 56-nucleotide transfer RNA is filed under the name Alces alces cameloides. RNAcentral describes it as "tRNA-Trp". The record is from RNAcentral. Lineage: Eukaryota; Metazoa; Chordata; Mammalia; Artiodactyla; Cervidae.